This is a non-coding RNA of Maylandia zebra (zebra mbuna), 2959 nucleotides long. The record is from RefSeq and is a predicted model, not a curated record. Lineage: Eukaryota; Metazoa; Chordata; Actinopteri; Cichliformes; Cichlidae.
CAUGCUCCUGUAUCUUUAACACUAAUGCACAAGAAUAAUACUACGCCAAGAAAAAACUGGAGAUUCACUACACGCCUAGACUAAGAACGUAAGAGGUGAAUAAACAUGGAAACAACACAGAAAGGAAACUCAACAACCUCAAAUAACCACCAAACAACAUAAGCACAAGAAAACAAAACCAGGAAAUGAGAUGGAAAAGUCCAUAAACACAAAACCCUGGGUCAAAGAUCCAGAACCGUGACACAGACUGAGAGUACACCUGUGUUCAGCUCUACGGCUCUAGGCACACUGUAAUCCCUAACAGUUGUUCUAGCUCAUAACUAAUAAGCUCAUAACACUCAAAUGUCGUUUUGUAGUUGAGCAAACUAUAAAGUAUUGAGCUCUGUUGGCUUUUAUGCAGCUUUAAUUGAAUAGGGCUCAAUAUUUUUUAGCUAAUUUUUUUGGAACGCUCAAAAAGUUUAAGAAGCAUAUAUUAGUGACGUUCAGGUGGGUGGAGUCUUGUCGCUCCUUCAGGAAAGCUGAGUCAGCCAUCUUGAAUUUACCUUGAUGCGGGGAAGAUUUGGCCAGACCGUGUGGAUUAAGAGUCCCCAACUUCAACCCACCACGACCACCACCUUAUUUUUUUUCAUCAAUUGCCCUAAAUUGGGUUAAGUCUAACGUGUUUUUGUUUUGUUUAAAUUUAAUUUCGAUAAACAUUCUUUUUUUAUUUUUUACUGGAAAUAUAUUCGUACUUUGUGCACAGUGAAUGUUUGUUAUAAAUGAAUUCGAAUCCAAGUAAUUGUAAUUUUAGAAGUUUUCGAAUGUGACAAAUACGUAAUGUUAUUUCAAAUUAGAAUGGUGUAACGUUUUGGCGGUUUACCGUGGGGGACAACAUUUCCCAUAAUGCAUUGUAUUCUUGCCCGGGAGGUUGACGGUGGCAGUUCUAGCUCCAUGCAUUUGAACUUUCUACUGUCCGUUUCUACCGGUUGUCGUAUUCGCCAGUAAUGCACGUGCGUACUCUGAGUAUACUCAUUUCAAUAAGUGUCCGUGUUACACAGUCAGUAGUUCACGCUGUUUAGCUGUGUGUGUGUGUGCUAGCAUGAAGCGAACAAUAAUAAACAACAUGUGUGUUAUCAUGAUGGUAAUUAGACACAUGUUUGUAUUUUUUCGUAGUCUCAAAUGUGUGGUUGUGAGAUAAUCUCGAAAUCCUUUUAACAGUUUAGAGGGGUAUUCCACUAAGCGAGCUCUACAAGUCAAGGCUUGCGGAAAAACGCAUCGCCUGAUUCAGCCUAACAUUACACACUGGUCGAACUCGGUGCUAUGAACGAAGUUCAGCUAAAUUGUUCGCGCUAAUUCGACAAGGCUCAACCAGCCAGACUGAGGUGCCUCCUUGACACCUUUAAGCCAGACCCUAUCGAUCUUUGCUAGAUAAAUUGAAAUGAAAUGAAAAUAAAGAGCCGUGUUCUGCUCCCAGGCUAAGAAAGAAUCAUUGAUGCAGACUGUGCGGAUCACAAAUACUCCCUAACCUGUAAGGCUGGGGUGUCCAAACUUUUUUCACUGAGGGCCACUUACUAGAAAUUAGGUAAAUAACCUUAACUUUAGUGUAUUAAAGAUCACAAAAUCACUUAAAAGUGGUCGAAUAUGUUAUAUUGUUGAAUAUAAUUAAAGACAAAACUGCCUUCAUCACAGCUUUCCAUAAAUGGAUCUUUAUUGAUUCAUUCAGAAAAAGCUUUGGUAGCUCGUUCUCAGAACAGCCUCAGAUUUCUUCUUAGACAGAAGAUUUACAGCACAGAGAAAAAACAAUAAAGGGGAAAAUAGGACGGGUAAAUUUCAAGUUUGUUAUUUAAGUUAUUAAGCUUAGCAACACACCUAUCAACAUUAGUUUGAAAUGGUUAACAUUAACAGACUGAACUGGACUUAAUAACAGGAGUGCAUAUAAUCUUAGUAAAUUAUUGUGGUGAGUAUCAGCUGCGCUGGGUAUGUAAAUCGGGCCAUCCAGCUGCGGUGCUGAUUCGACGUCACUCGUGCCAAAAAUCCGGACAAAUGUCACUUGAUCAAGGAGCAGAUCUGCAUCAGAUGAGAUCAGCUGACUACGUGUGUGUGCUGUGCAAAAAAUGUUUUUGAACAUUAAUAAGUCGUCUUUGUGCACAUAUUGUUUACAGAUAUCAGACUGCAAAGAGCGCUACAGAGAGUCAACAUUUCACCAGCUGUCAGAACAGCAUGAUGUAAAUACAAGACGGGCCCUCGUCCUUCGUGCACUUCCUGUGUACCUGCGUGAAGAUGCCUCCACAUUAUUCAGGACUUGUGAUUCAGCAGAUGGUCCAGACCUCACUGACACUCCUGUGGCUCUGCUGACAGUUGUCACAGAUGACACUACUGAUUCGGCCCUCUUCAGUCCCGAAAACAUCUGCAUUGUCGUUGAGGAUGAAAUACUUGUGAAUGGUCCCACAAAUCUGGCUGACUCAUUUCUCCUGCUCUUUGGGUACAUCUAUGCACUAGACCUACAAUACCUAAAGAAACUUGAGCUUACAUUCACAUUUAUCCAGAAGGUUGUGAUGUGCCUUGAGGACAACAAACCACUGAAAGGGCGUCUACUGAUGCUGAAGAAUGAUUUGUUCAAUGAGUGAAUCACUCAGAAUGGACUACUUGUUGAGCUGAGUAUUGAGGAAGCUUUUUUUGUUUGUUUUUUUCCUAAUCAUUUGCCUCUUCUACCUCACAUUUAAGACGAAUGACUGUUCAGUUCAUGCACUAUUCAUGUUUAAUGUUCUGUUGCCUAAUACGUAAAUGCACUGCCUUGAUGUUUGUUCCCUAUAAGUACAGCAGUGGAAACAGUACUGUUUUUUUUUUUUAAUGUAUUUUUAAAAAAGAAAGUGAGCUGCAGCUGUCAAGGUACAGUAAGUGUUAAAUGCCUCAAUGUUCUAAUAGCUGCAAUUGCUGUUAAUACUGAAAAUGUUAUUGAAUUUUAGAAUUGAGAUGGAGA